CGCACUCCGCGGUCCGCUCCUACGCCUCGGAUGGAGCUGGGGAAAUGAACGGAUUAUCUAUUCACGAAAACAUUCAGUUAAUAGACCUUCUUAAAUUUUCGUAGGCCUAGAUCCCUAAAUUAGACUGCCUAAAAUUAUUUUAGACUCGAGAAUUCAGCAGAACCUCCUAUAAAUUGCAGACAUUUAAUCCACGUACAACAAGUCCAGAACCUACUAGAAACACUUCAAAUAUUCUGUGAUUAAUUAACAGGAGUCCGACCACCAAAACUGCAUUAUUUUUCCAACUCUACAACAUAUAACAAAUCACAAUUAAUUAAAUUCAAUUAAUUUCAAAUUAUCCAUAAUUGAUAAUUAAUAGCAACAAUAUUUUUCUAAAAUUACAACAUGAUUUUUGAAGUUCAGAUAAAAUUAUAUCGAGCCGAAAUCUUAAAAUUUUGGGCGUCGGAGUCCAGAAGCCGGUCCUACCAACGGUGUCGGAAUUCAAAUACGAAAGCGUCUACGCGAAGCUCGAGUUGCAGGGAGUCCGAAAACACAAGAGUUUCGGCCGGAAACUCGUCGGAAGGCACCGGAUCGGGGUCGAAAAGGGGUUGCUCCAAUGAGGCUUGACCGAGGCUGCCGGGGAGGAUUUCACGGUGGGGGAGCUCGACCUAGGGGUUCCGGUGGUGGAGAGCUUGAAUCUGGCGUCGGAUGGCCGAAAAGAGGGCGGCAAAAGGCCGAAACAGCGAUGGCAGCCCCUUUUUCCAUGCGAACGUCGGCAGCGAAGGAAGGAGGAAAAGGAAGGUAGCGCAGCGGCGAGGAGGGGAAGGAGAAAGAGCUGGGCGGCGGCGUUGGCUGCGCUGUGGCCAGAGAAGGCAGAAAUCGGGGAGGGAGAAGGAGCUAGCUUCGGGGAGGAAGGGGAAGGAAGGAAAAGGGAAAGGAGAGGGGGAAGGAAAGAAAAAGGAGGAAAAAGAAAUUAUUAUUAUUAUUAUUAUUAUUAUUAUUAUUAGUAUUAUUAUCAUUUCUGGGUAUUACACUUAGUUCCUACGUUUUAAGUCAUCUAUUAUUAAAAAUCGACACAUAGACGAUAAUUAUUUUAACACAUAAACAUUUGAUAGCUUAUAGAAAAGAGUUACAAAAUAUAAGCAUCGACUCGUAUUUAUUAAAUUGACACAUAAAUUUAAUCUUAUGAUGUGCAAACAUUGUAUAAUUUUUAUUUCUAAUUUUGUCUCUUCCCUUCCAAAUUUACUGAUGAGAGCAAUUUGCUGAUCUUUUUCUUUGUUUGUGACUUGAGAUUCCUAAUUGCAAAAGAGACUAGGGAUCGAUAAGCAAUAGUAGUUGGUCAAAUUCAUAGAAUU
Molecule: long non-coding RNA, 1334 nt
Filed under: Ricinus communis (castor bean)
Lineage: Eukaryota; Viridiplantae; Streptophyta; Magnoliopsida; Malpighiales; Euphorbiaceae
Description: long non-coding RNA (RCOM_LNC003050)
Source: RNAcentral